CGCGGUCCGUCUUCCAGCCACGGAGCGGGGAAACCUGGACUGCCGUUGGUUCUAAGGCAGAGCGCCGCCAGAGACUGGUGCCAAGACCCACUCCUCCUAAACUAGCCUCAACACUCUGACCCCCGCGGAGGCCCUGCAGACCCAGCAGUUCGUCCUUGGCAUGUGGCUGGCCUCCUGUCUCCCCGCCUCCUUGUUCCGGGUUUCUUUUCAGUUUCCCGCGGAACCGUCUCUUGAAGACAACCAACCGCGGCCGAGAGUGUUGCAGCUUGGCCAACCACAGGCGCGGUGGGUGGUGGCGGGGACUGAGAGGUGGGUUUCUGGUCAGGGAGAGCAAGCCCGGCUGCGACCCGGGGGGAGUCCGGUGGGGUGCAGAAGUGGCUUCUUGCGGUUAGGGUGAAGACACCGGUGGGACCAGCCUCCACCCAUGAAAAGACCCCUUCGGGUAACAGUGAUCUACCUCGGCGACAAUGUCCAGCCAGGUCAUUCCAGCCCUCCCCAAAACAUUUUCCAGUAGCCUGGACCUGUGGAGGGAAAAGAACGACCAGCUUGUUAGACAGGCUAAGCAACUCACCAGGGAUUCUCGUCCCUCUCUGAGGCGACAGCAAUCGGCCCAAGACACACUGGAAGGGCUUAGGGAACUCCUCCUCACUCUACAAGGACUCCCUGCUGCUGUCCCCGCUCUCCCCUUGGAGCUGACUGUCCUCUGUAAUUGUAUAAUCCUGAGGGCUAGCCUAGUCCAGGCUUUCACUGAAGAUCUUACCCAGGAUCUUCAAAGGGGCCUCGAAAGAGUGCUGGAGGCCCAGCAUCACCUGGAGCCCAAGUCACAGCAGGGACUCAAGGAGCUGUGGCACUCUGUCCUCUCUGCUUCCUCCCUUCCACCGGAGCUGCUGCCUGCCUUACACUGCCUGGCCAGCCUUCAAGCUGUCUUCUGGAUGAGUACCGACCACCUGGAGGACCUGACCUUGCUGUUACAAACCCUAAAUGGCAGCCAGACUCAGUCCUCUGAGGAUCUGCUACUACUGCUAAAAUCCUGGAGUCCUCCAGCUGAGGAGUCACCCGCCCCACUGAUUCUGCAGGAUGCCGAGAGUUUGAGGGAUGUCCUUCUGACUGCAUUUGCCUGCCGCCAAGGCUUCCAGGAGCUAAUCACAGGGAGCCUGCCCCAUGCACAGAGCAACCUGCAUGAAGCAGCCUCAGGUCUGUGUCCGCCGUCCGUGUUAGUCCAGGUGUACACGGCCCUGGGGGCCUGUCUCCGUAAGAUGGGAAAUCCACAGAGAGCACUGUUGUACUUGACUGAAGCCCUGAAAGUGGGAACAACCUGUGCCCUUCCGCUUCUGGAGGCUUCCAGAGUAUAUAGGCAACUAGGAGACAGAGCAGCAGAACUGGAGAGUCUGGAACUGCUGGUUGAGGCCUUGAGUGCCACCCAUAGUUCUGAAACAUUCAAAAGUCUCAUUGAAGUAGAAUUGCUACUUCCACAACCUGACCCAGCCUCUCCUCUUCAUUGUGGCACACAGAGCCAGGCCAAGCACCUGCUAGCAAGUCGAUGCCUGCAGACGGGGAGAGCUCAGGCAUCCCUCCAUUAGCCACGAGAAUAUUCUCACUGGAACAUUUUUGGGGAGCCAGGGCCCUUGAAGCUCACAGACUGACUGACUCUCCAGGGCAGAAGAUGCUGCAGAGCAUUACCUGGACCUGCUGGCAAUGUUGCUGGGUGGCUCAGAGACAAGGUUCUCCCCACCCACCUCCUCUCUAGGUCCCUGUAUACCAGAGUUAUGUCUGGAGGCAGCAGCAGCACUGAUCCAGGCAGGCCGAGCCUUAGACGCUUUGACUGUGUGUGAGGAGCUGCUCAACCGUACCUCGUCUCUGCUUCCCAAAAUGUCCUCCUUGUGGGAAAAUGCCAGGAAAAGAGCCAAAGAACUGCCGUGUUGCCCAGUCUGGGUCUCUGCCACCCACCUGCUUCAGGGCCAGGCCUGGUCACAACUAAAGGCUCAGAAAGAGGCACUUAGUGAAUUUAGCCAGUGUCUUGAGCUGCUCUUUCGGACCCUGCCUGAGGACAAAGAACAAGGCUCCGACUGUGAGCAGAAGUGUAGGUCUGACGUGGCACUGAAACAGCUGCGAGUGGCUGCUCUGAUCAGUCGUGGACUGGAGUGGGUAGCCAGUGGCCAGGAUACCAAAGCCUUAAGUGACUUCCUCCUCAGUGUGCAGAUAUGCCCAGACUCUGAAAAGAUUGGAUCGGAAGAAUGAGGCCAGUGCUUUUUGGCGGGAGGCCCACAGCCAGCUGCCACUGGAGGACGCUGCCGGGUCUCUUCCACUGUAUUUAGAAACCUGUUUGAGCUGGAUCCAUCCCCCUAACCGCGAAGCCUUCCUUGAGGAGUUUGGGACUUCGGUGUUGGAGUCUUGUGUCCUUUAGCUUCCUUGUUUCCAGGAUCUUGAACUUUGGCCUCUGUGGACUCUUUCCUUGGGGAGGGUUUUAGAUCUUCUUUUUUUUGUUUUCUUCUGCCUUAUCCUCUUUGGAGAGUGGCUGGAACUGAUUGUUUCUAAGUAACUCUUUUGCUCCUGAGGCUGGUCCUGUGAACCUUGAUCUACUUGCUACCAGUCUAGUUCCAGAGUGGUUCCAUGAACAAAUCACUGUCUGCUCAUGGCACUUUUCUUCCUUCCUUCCUUUCUCUCUUGUGUGUUGAGUAAAAUCUUCUAUUUAUGUCUUAUCUGCUUACUACACAUAGUUGAAUGGGAAGGAAGGCUCAUGGCAAGCUAGUUGGGUAUUGGCUGUUUAAGAUGCUCUAUUUCCAACAUCCGUCUUCUGUCUGCCUUCCCUGUCUCCCUAACUCCCCCUUCCUUCCCAUUGUCUUUUUGGUAGGUUGGAUUCUGGGGACUAAACUGCAGUUCCUCAUAAAAAUCCCCAUUCCUACCCUUUUCCCACCCUGCCAUCUACCGUAAGAGCUUGAGACACAAGCCUUUCUGAGGGAAAGGCUAUGUUAAUCCUUCUGGAGGAGCAGUUUUAAGUUACUAAUUUAUCCUUCUUAAGUUACUAUUAAAAUUUUGAAUUGCUUAUUUUAA
This is an RNA transcript of Mus musculus (house mouse), 3051 nucleotides long. It is a transcript of the gene named Fanconi anemia, complementation group G, with no coding region annotated. The transcript has 14 exons. NCBI's taxonomy places the organism in Eukaryota, Metazoa, Chordata, Mammalia, Rodentia, Muridae. The record is from RefSeq and is marked validated.